This 404-nucleotide non-coding RNA is filed under the name Anthopleura elegantissima (clonal anemone). The record is from RNAcentral. Lineage: Eukaryota; Metazoa; Cnidaria; Anthozoa; Actiniaria; Actiniidae.
UUCUCUUGCUUUAUUCCUCUGAUCUUGCUGUAUUUUGUGCAGCUGUCUAACCCUAAGGAUAUCUAUCGACCUCGUUGAUGGUAUUUUGAAUGACUUUCAUUGCACAUUAUGCGUUGUUUUGGCCUGCUUACAUCGCACGGGGAAGUCAUUCCAUUCAAGCAGGUCAUGCAAAGGAAUCCCAAGUGAGAGAAGACCGCUACAAGCUCCAUUGAUGGCUGAUUUUGAAAGCGAAAGAGAGCUCAGUCGUAAGUUUUCUUACAUGCUGGGUUCAAGGCCUUGUCCCUGUUUCCUAGCUUUCUGUUUAGUCGUUGUGAGCUAUGGCUUAAAGUAAACUUGUGAACGGGUCGCAGAGAUCUUCCCAAAGACGUCAUAUGGGCCAGGUCAAGCGAAACGUUCAUACAUUU